RNAcentral lists this Y RNA (102 nucleotides) under Canis lupus familiaris (dog). Its description in RNAcentral is "Y RNA (ENSCAFG00030023954.1, ENSCAFG00845030007.1)". It matches the Rfam family "Y RNA". From Rfam's summary of the family: Y RNAs are components of the Ro ribonucleoprotein particle (Ro RNP), in association with Ro60 and La proteins. The Y RNAs and Ro60 and La proteins are well conserved, but the function of the Ro RNP is not known. Lineage: Eukaryota; Metazoa; Chordata; Mammalia; Carnivora; Canidae. The record is from Rfam by way of RNAcentral.
GGCUGGUCUGAGAGCAGUGGUGUUUACAAUUAAUUGAUCACAUCCAGUUACAGAUUUCUUUGCUCCUUCUCCACUCCCACUGUUUCGCUUGACUAGCCUAAA